Long non-coding RNA from Rhincodon typus (whale shark), 405 nucleotides. RefSeq lists it as uncharacterized. Lineage: Eukaryota; Metazoa; Chordata; Chondrichthyes; Orectolobiformes; Rhincodontidae. The record is from RefSeq and is a predicted model, not a curated record. The transcript has 3 exons.
GUGAGAUGUGGAUGUGUUGCGGAAUGGGCAAUCCGCUGUUGAAGAGCCUCACCAUCGUCCCCCAAACCCGCCAACACCGCCGGGAUUUUAGCGGCGGCGGGAGGCCUACUCAAUGCCCAAUCUGAUCCAGCCUGACCACUUUCUUAACUAACUGUAAGGAACCUCGAAAUACAGGACGUAACAGCCCAUCCAGUUCAAUCCUGAGGUGCCAUGUCCGUCCGAGGCCUCGUCCACGGAGAUCUUCACCACUUUAAUUUGCCAGCCUUGAGUGAACGUCAGCUGCUCAGGAUGCGAACGGGUGCACGCUCUUUUCCGCACGACGGACGCCCGAUGAUGACUCGAUCGCACGAUAAAGUUUGCCGACGUUACUGCAUUGCUUUUGGCUGAUGUGCUCCGUGACUGUGU